Molecule: non-coding RNA, 813 nt
Organism: Coffea arabica (coffee)
Lineage: Eukaryota; Viridiplantae; Streptophyta; Magnoliopsida; Gentianales; Rubiaceae
Source: RefSeq, a predicted model, not a curated record
UUUUAUGAGAAGAGAGAAGUGGAAAAGUUGCUGUUUUUUUUUUCCCCUUCUCAAUAGAAAGAAAAAAAUUGCUUCACCUACCUCUAGUGCUUGAAGAUUUUCGAGGCCGUAAAAGUUUUAUGUACUAGGAAUUUUAUAGUAACUUGGGCCCUGCAACUUUUCUGCUUUUCAUUCUAGAAUCAGUUACAUCCCAGAUGUACCAAGUUAAUGGAGAAUAGGAUAUGAUUCUCAAGAUCAUAGAAAUAGAACUAUAACUCAUACUUAGUUGUUUGAUGCCUUCGUGCCUUCUGUUAAGCAGAGUCUUAAAGCCAAGUUUAAAUGAAAGUUCUGUCCAUAAGGCACCAAUGUUUCCGAUGCCAGUUUUGGCGAUGAACUGCAUAAAACAUGGACGCUAAGGAUUCUCCAACAGCAAACUCCUUUCCUAAAAAGAAUUGCAACUUCAUCCAGAUUGUGGUGGAUACAGGUAAUUCUGAUGUGCCUCUUACAGUUACAAUAUGCUAGCCUUCUAAAAGUACACGUUUUCAGCGCCACUACCCCAGAAUCAGUCAGAGCUGCUCUAAGUUUAGUUACAAUGAAUUGUCUCCUCGGAACAAAGGAUAGAUCAAGGAGAAAGUCUUCGUGGAUCACGAGGUUCAUGAGUACGCUGAGCUGCAGAUGAUGAUGGAAGUAUCGAUGCAGGUGAUGAUAUUCAAGUAGAUCUAUUGGUGUAAACUGAUGCAUCUACUUGUCACCAUUUAGGUUUAUUAUAUCUAAAGCUUUCAGGUAGAUAUUUUAACUCACACUUCAAAAAAAAAGUUGAAUAUUUUGAUUGAC